Molecule: ribosomal RNA, 594 nt
Filed under: Paenarthrobacter nitroguajacolicus
Lineage: Bacteria; Bacillati; Actinomycetota; Actinomycetes; Micrococcales; Micrococcaceae
Description: bacterial SSU rRNA
Rfam family: Bacterial small subunit ribosomal RNA
Source: RNAcentral
GCGUAAGAGCUCGUAGGCGGUUUGUCGCGUCUGCUGUGAAAGACCGGGGCUCAACUCCGGUUCUGCAGUGGGUACGGGCAGACUAGAGUGCAGUAGGGGAGACUGGAAUUCCUGGUGUAGCGGUGAAAUGCGCAGAUAUCAGGAGGAACACCGAUGGCGAAGGCAGGUCUCUGGGCUGUAACUGACGCUGAGGAGCGAAAGCAUGGGGAGCGAACAGGAUUAGAUACCCUGGUAGUCCAUGCCGUAAACGUUGGGCACUAGGUGUGGGGGACAUUCCACGUUUUCCGCGCCGUAGCUAACGCAUUAAGUGCCCCGCCUGGGGAGUACGGCCGCAAGGCUAAAACUCAAAGGAAUUGACGGGGGCCCGCACAAGCGGCGGAGCAUGCGGAUUAAUUCGAUGCAACGCGAAGAACCUUACCAAGGCUUGACAUGAACCGGAGAGACCUGGAAACAGGUGCCCCGCUUGCGGUCGGUUUACAGGUGGUGCAUGGUUGUCGUCAGCUCGUGUCGUGAGAUGUUGGGUUAAGUCCCGCAACGAGCGCAACCCUCGUUCUAUGUUGCCAGCGCGUUAUGGCGGGGACUCAUAGGAGACUG